RNAcentral lists this long non-coding RNA (4906 nucleotides) under Vitis vinifera (wine grape). RNAcentral's name for it is "long non-coding RNA (VVIN_LNC003368)". Lineage: Eukaryota; Viridiplantae; Streptophyta; Magnoliopsida; Vitales; Vitaceae. The record is from RNAcentral.
UUGAUUAUCGUUAUUGCAUUAAUGUUAAUGUGGUGAAGGUGAUGGUAGCAUAUCUCAAAGAAACAACAGACAAUGAAAUUUGGACCGUAUACACCAAGGAAAAGAUAAGGGUAUCAUGUUCCAUGGUUCUAAUUUGAUGGGACUCAGAAAAGAGAAUUGCAUUUGUCUUUGAAAAAAUGCUGUUUAUUACCAGCUGGAAUGCAUGCAACAAUCAUUAGGUUCACAUACUUGACAUAGAAACCAGUACAGAAAGGAAACACUAAACUGACUCAAAGAAUCCUAUGAGUAGAGACCAGCUCAACCACAGGAAAGAAACUAGGAAGGAGAAACAACAGAUGAGUGAUGAUGGAAGAAAUGAGGCAGCGGUGGUCUCCAGUGACCUUAAUUAGUACCACCAAGAACAGCCUUAAGCUUCUUCACCACAGCUGCGUCAAGGAAAGUGGUCUGCACCACCAGUUCAGUUGGCAAAUCGUUUGCAAACAGAGCGUAAUCAAGGAUCUGGAGACCAGGCUGUGGGCUGCUGAAGCUAACAAAGGCGGUGGAUGGUAUCCCAGCCCCAUUCACUUGAAAAUGCAGUAGUCCUUGAGGAAAAAUCAUAAUGUCACCCUUCUUAAGAGUUUUGAAGUAGACGGUAUUGGCUGAGGAAAUGAACCCAGCACAGAUUGCCCCCUGCGUAACAAGCAGGACUUCUGAACCUCCAGGGUGUGUGUGCAUUGGCACAACCCCUCCUACAGCCAGGUCCAGGCGUGCUAUGGACAAGCCAAGACCGUUCAAGCCAGGAAACUGAGGAGCAAAAGCCGGAGUCACAGCAGCUUUGAUAAGAUUUGAGGUGUUCCCUGCCAUGCCUAGGCCGGAGAAAACAAAAUCAUCAACAGUAACCUUUGCAGGCUUCUUGCAAGAGUAGCCUGCAGGCCCCUCUGGGGCUGCAAGGUCCCCGACGCAGAAGUCCUGCACUGCAGCAUGAGAUGAUAAGAUAAGGGAAAAGAUGCAGAGAAUUGGGAGAAACAUCUUCACCAAAUAUAAAGAAGAAUGUUUUGCCUUAGCCCUUCUUUGCCAUCCUGAUCAGGCUUGGCACCCUUAUAUAUAGAAUCAGGAAUGCGGAAUAUUUUUUUCAGCAUCUUCAAUUGAUUGCUAGAGAUAUACCGGCAAAAAAGUUCACAUGCAGUGUACCCUAAAAUGAAAGCUUGAAAAAUGACAGAUUCUGAGCUGUGAUGCAUGUGAUUCUGCAAUCUUUUCUUUCAGAAAAAACCAAGAAACCUCUUUUUUGGCUCAUGAGUGACGGCAAGGAGUGAAAACAUCUUUGGCCUUUCCAAUUUCCAUCACGUCAAGCCAGUGAGGCAGUAAGAAAACUUCAAUAUUUCAACACACAGUCAAUCCGUAAGCUUGAAAUUUUCAGCAAACCCCUCAUUUACGAUCUUUCACCACCACCCAAAUCACAUCUUCUGAUAUCUGAUCUGGUCUUAUCCCAACAAUACAAACAAGAUAGGGAGAUGUGAGAAGGUGGUCCAUUAGUAUAACAAAACAUUUUUCUACAGCUAGAAGGCACUCCUGCAAGUCGUCCCACGACUCCCACCCCUUCAAACGGUAGCCAUUGCCCAAUGUGUGGUUCCUAGACAUUGCCCAUCUUGAAGGGCUUUUGUUGAUUGCCAGAGGAUAAGGGCAUCUUGUGGAUACCCCACUGCAAGAUGCUCAUAGAAUUGUCCGAAUUGUUCAAUCAUCUCACUUGCUUCUGCAUUUCAAAUUUCAACUUAUCCUUCCCGAGUAUUAGCCUAGCUUAUUCAAAUUACUCUUUUAGGCUUUAGUACCGGGGAAUAGGAAUGGAAAAGAGAGGAAUCAAUCAUGAUACGAAUGCGAGUGAGAUUUGGGUUCCACGAUGAUGAAUUUUUUUAGCAAAAAAAUAGUUUUUACUUGUAAUGUCAUCUGUACUAAUUCACAAUUAGACUUUUCCACAUAAAUGUUUUUCUUCUUUUAGAUAUGUUUAUUAUUAUUAUUAUCUAAGAUUUUUUUUUUCAAAAACAAACACCUCAUAAGGAUUUUAUUUUAUUUAUGUUUCCCUUCUCUGCAUCAAUAGCUAUUCCAUGGGUAACUCAAACUCAUUUGUCUUUUAAAAAUAACAAUAUAUUACCUUUUAUUUGUAUUUUUAUUUCUUGAAUUGAACAUGAAGGUAAAAAUAAAGUAAAUGCCUCGAAUAAUCCAGAAUCCUUAAAAUUAACCUCAAUUUGCUCUAAUUAAAAAAUUCAUAAAGAAACCAUGGAAAAAACAUAAAUCUUAUUCAUAAUAAAACUCAAACUCAUCUAUAAUCUAUCAGACUCACUACUUCUAAUGAUCACGCUCUUCCAACCACCUCAUAUUUGCUAUGAGAUGUUUGUUUAUGAAGAACAAAAUAAUUCUUAACUUUUUCUACUAUGUAAUUAUUUGUUGGAGAAAAAAAAUCAUAAAUAAUAAUAAUAAUAAAAGAACAUAUCUAAAAAAAAGGAAAACAUUUAUAUGGACGAAUCUAAUUUUCAAUUAUUAGUGAUGACAUAAUCAGUGAAAAGGGUAUUUCAGGGAAUAAUUAUAUAAUUCAUUAAAAAAUACAUAUAUUUUAAAUUAUUUUUAAACAACGAUAAUACUAAUUUUAUAAAAUUAGAAUUUUUUUUAUAUGUAUUUUCUCAGGAGUGAGAUAAAAUAAAACCCAAACACAUUAAUUAAUGUGAAUGAAAAUUCCAGCGUUCCAAAAACGACUUUAGAGUAGAGCUCUCAUUAUCGGAACUCUGAGACCUCCAUCCAUCUAUUUAUCUAUGAUCACAAAUUUAUGAUCGUCUACCCACUUGUUUCCAUCUCUACAUGAGCUGGAAGGAAAGUAUUCAAAUCCCGACAACUUAAGCUUUUAGAAAAGAUGAUUGUUCAAUUGGCUCUACCUAUUAAGAAUAGGUGUUUGCGGUGUUAGGGUUUAUGGAGCAACUACACGCCUCAUGUAUCAAGACUUGAUGUUUGUGGUGUUAGGGUUUAAGGAGCAACUUUACACCCCAUGUAUCAAAAGUUGGCGUUUGUGGUGUUAGGGUUUACGUAUCUACCACACACUCUACAGUGAGUAGAGAAUUAACAGGAUUGUGAAUAUAACCUUUAGCAGCUGAGGCUAAAGCUCCUAGAAACCAUAGGUGAAAAAUAACAACACCUUUAGUUAGCUAUUUAUCAUGGGGCAAUGAGGAUGUUUGUGUAAUAAUACAAUGAUGCUAUGUUUGGUUAUCCAAAAAAUUUGGGGGAAAUAUAGUGAAAUUAAAAAAUAAAUUUAAAGUUAAUAAAUUAUCUUUACGUGUUUUUUCAAAAUCAUUUCAUUUAUUUUAAAUUUGCUUUAAAUAUUAAAUAAUUUGAAAAAGUUAUGUUUCUAAUUAAUAUUAAUUAUAUUUGAUUUUUAUUUGUAUUUUUUAUGAUAUAAUUAAAUAUGAGACAAAUAUAUUUUUUUUAUUUUUUUCUUUGCUUAGUAUUUUUCCAUAACUAAUAUAAUCUUAAGGAAUUAUUUAAUGAAAUAACUAAAUAUAAUGUUAAGAAAUUAUUUGGACGAAACGAUCCUAAAGUUGUAAAAGUAACUCCUUUUAUGUUUGGAAUUUGAAAAAUACAAACCCAUUUUUUACAUAUCUAUCUUUCAAUAUUUGGAUUAUUUUCACUAAAGAUUCAAAAAAUAAUCUUAUUUUUUUAAGAAAACCCAAGGAGUAUUAUGUUUAAAAUUGAUCAUGUUUUAGGUUGGAAUAUAUAAAGAGUUAGAUUUAUAACUUUGGGAUUAUUUCAUUCAUUUUAAUUAAAUAGCCUAUUUUAUUUUAUUAAAAGGGAUAAACUAAUUAUAUAUUUAAAAAAAAAGCCUUCAUCUUUUAAAAAUAUUGUUAGCCCAAGGUUCUCCUAAUCAGGUUUUGGUGAUAACAAACCAUGGUUAAGUGAUUAAUUGGUUUGAAUGGUAAAGAAUCUUAGGUAUAAAUUCGAAAAUUCAUCAAAGGACCAAAUGGAUACAAGAUCGAGACUUUCGUAAGACUUUUAAUCAUAGGAAAUAAAUGUAAGAUGAAUGUAUGGGUAUACUUAGGGUUUACAUAUCUUUUUAUGCAUCUUUGGAAAACUCGGUUUGUUCUUUAAAGUUACAAUUUCAUUAAAAUCUGAGUUUUAUCAAAUGUAUCUUAAUCAAAACGUUUCAAAAUUGACAUAUUAAUUUACCUAAAGACUUUGUCUAAGUGUUAGAAAAGAAAAGAAGUGAAAAAUAUAGGUUUUCGGGGCUAAAAGGUUGAAUCGGUCGAGACUCUAGCCAACCGACUCAACCGGUUAGAGAACCGAUCAACCGAUUGCCCUUGUCCAGUCGAGGUCCGAUUGAGAAAUGUUAAAAACACUCUCUCUCUUCUAGUAACCUUCCUUUCCCGAUUGAGGUUCCCUCCUUCCCAAUUGACCUUCGGUCAAUGUCCGAUUGAGGUCUGGUCGAAGCAAUGGUAAGCUGCUAAAACAUUAAAUGCUCCAACAGCUAUUGAACCGGUCGACCCCUAGCUCAACCGGUUGAGGCUACUUUUUGCUGUUCUUGGCUCCCAAGCUUAGAAACCUAUAAAUUGAGAGCUCCACUUCAUUUAUGACAUAUAGAACACUUGAAUACAAUUGUCUAUCUACUUGUUUUUGCCUUAAAAGCUCUCAUUUCCUUCUUAGUACAUUAAAUUCUCACUUGCAUAUCUUUUAGUGCACCCUUGUGAGUCAUCCUAACUUUGUUUUGUAUUUGAGCUAGGUUGAGGGAUUCAUUCUUGUAAAAACUGGGUGUUAAAACCGUCAAGAGGUUUGAAUCUUGAAAAGAUUGUGUAAGAGCCCAUUGGAGUCGGAAUCCAAGUGUAAGAAGAUUGGAAGCUUGGUUGAAGCUUCAAGUUAGUGGAACCCUCACUCGGUUAGGAGAUUGAGGAGAAUU